This 178-nucleotide non-coding RNA is filed under the name Paracoccus alcaliphilus. Lineage: Bacteria; Pseudomonadati; Pseudomonadota; Alphaproteobacteria; Rhodobacterales; Paracoccaceae. The record is from RNAcentral.
GUGUCGGUUUCCGCAAGGAAUUGAAAGGGAAUCCGCCGGGGCGUUUCACGUCCCGAACCGGAACUGCCCCCGCAACUGUAGGCGGUGAGCCCGGCUCGGAAUAUGCCACUGGACCUUGGGUCCGGGAAGGUCGAGCCAGCUGUGACCCGUCAGUCAGGAGACCUGCCGGCGACGUUUG